This is a long non-coding RNA of Homo sapiens (human), 988 nucleotides long. RefSeq lists it as uncharacterized. The record is from RefSeq and is a predicted model, not a curated record. The transcript has 2 exons. NCBI's taxonomy places the organism in Eukaryota, Metazoa, Chordata, Mammalia, Primates, Hominidae.
GUACAAAAUUGAGAUAACGGGUAUUCCACCGGCUGGGGAGCAUGGUGUGAUCAUGGCUCACUGCAACCUCGAACUCCUGGCCUCAAGCAAUCCUUCCACCUCAGCCUCCUGAGUUGUUGAGACUACAGGCGCACGCCACUGCACCCAGCUAAUUUUUUUUUGUAGAGACGAGGUCUUGCUUUGUUGCCCAGGCUGUUCUCAAAUUCCUGGCCUCAAGAGAUCUGCCUGCCUCCGGCUCCCAAAGUGCUGAGAUUACAGGGGUUAGCCAGCAUGCCUGGGAAUUCUGAAAUUUUUCAAACACUACCUCCAGAACUCACUGAUGUGCUAUUGCCCCUGUAUAUAAAAUGUGAAGUGCAGCACACAAACAUUUUCUAAUAUAAGGUGUUCUUUUUUCAUGUCAAGAUGUGUAAAAAGUGGUCUCGGACUUGUUCCCAGUUGUUACCCCAAAAUUAUAGAAGACUAAACCAAAAUAGAAUACCUUGUGUUUAAAUAGGGGAUAGUUCUCAAAAAUUCAGUUAAUUCCUGAUAUUCUGGAAUGGCUCUAUAUAAAUAUCAAUGAUAGUAAAGACUUAAACUCAUCACAUAUUUUGCACUCUCUUAGUACUCAAAAUCCUAGACACUGAAUUUUUUCUAGCAGGGUCAUAGCUUUGUACCUUUACUACCACUUGCUAUUAGUGUUUAGUUGAAGCUAGAGACCUGACAUAGAUAAUGAAUUUCUCUUUUUAGCCUCAUAGACAGUUUCUUUUCUACAUUAAUGAACUUCAAGUCACAAUGUCCUAGUCUCCUCUCAAAGUUUUUCCCAUUUACAGUGAACCAGUUCUGCAUCUGAACCAUAACAACUAAUUUCCACUCUUCUGGACAUUUUAACUCAUUUAACCUGUUAAAAGGAGAAGCAUCCUGAGAAAGUUACAUAUUCACCACCCAGAUAUAAGGAAAGAAGACUCAAUAGUGGGGAGAAAAUUAAACCUUAUUUAUUUUUAAAGUCAAA